AACGUAACGUGUGACGUAUUUGUUAUGUCGUUCGAUUUAAUCGACAAUAGUUUAAAAGUGUUCUAUUUUAAUUUUGUAGUAGACGAUUUUACGUAAAUUCCGAGUUUUUCUCACUCUAUUUUGUUAUUUUGUCGAAAAAAUUCGAUUUAAAAAACUUCAAGAAUCCGCUACUGUAUCGUGUACACAAUUUGCAUGACAGAUAUUAUUAAUAAUGAUGAAAACUGCCAUAUUCAUUUGCUUCUCUGUGUUGUUCCUGAAAGCGAAUUCUGAAAAAUUGGUGUUUUCAGACUGUUGUAAAGUGCCUGUAAAAAUAAUUCCAUGUGGAUUUUGGGAAUCGUCGGUAGGAUGGUAUUAUAACACCACUAGUAGACAAUGCGAUGUCGAAUUGUUAGGGUGCAUAGAUAAUUGUAAUGACUUCGAUUCGUGGAAAGAUUGUUAUGAAACUUGUAUAGGAGACUGUCUGGAAGUAGAGAAUUGUUGAGAAAAUUAGCCUUUUAUAUAAACUGUAUAAGUAAAUUAGUUUCAUGAUUGUUCAUUUUAGUGACGAGCCAUCUCAUUGAAAGUUAUUCGACAGAUUGUUUUCAAAUAUCUCUACAGAAUUUGAUGUAUUGUUACAAUGUAAGUAAGAAUGUGAAUAAAAUAUUUGAAAU
Long non-coding RNA from Centruroides sculpturatus (bark scorpion), 650 nucleotides. RefSeq lists it as uncharacterized. The transcript is spliced from 3 exons. The record is from RefSeq and is a predicted model, not a curated record. NCBI's taxonomy places the organism in Eukaryota, Metazoa, Arthropoda, Arachnida, Scorpiones, Buthidae.